RNAcentral lists this transfer RNA (69 nucleotides) under Pseudocercospora fijiensis CIRAD86. RNAcentral describes it as "tRNA-Thr (AGT) (tRNA-Thr-AGT-2-1)". The stretch from base 4 to 62 matches the Rfam family "tRNA", at positions 7 to 64 of the family's 71-position model. Rfam says of the family: Transfer RNA (tRNA) molecules are approximately 80 nucleotides in length. Their secondary structure includes four short double-helical elements and three loops (D, anti-codon, and T loops). The record is from RNAcentral. Lineage: Eukaryota; Fungi; Ascomycota; Dothideomycetes; Mycosphaerellales; Mycosphaerellaceae.
CUCUUAGCUCAGGGGUAGAGCGCGUCACUAGUAAUGACGAGGCCACUAGUUCGAAUCUAGUAAUCUUGA